RNAcentral lists this ribosomal RNA (406 nucleotides) under uncultured bacterium. RNAcentral describes it as "partial 16S ribosomal RNA". It matches the Rfam family "Bacterial small subunit ribosomal RNA", at positions 29 to 526 of the family's 1533-position model. The record is from RNAcentral.
AUUGAACGCUGGCGGCAGGCCUAACACAUGCAAGUAGAGCGAGCGGCGGACGGGUGAGUAAUGUCUGGGAAAAUGCCUGAUGGCGGGGGAUAACUACUGGAAACGGUAGCUAAUACCGCAUACCAUCAGGUAUGCCCAGAUGGGCGUGGCUAGUAGGUGGGGUAACGGCACACAUAGGCGAAUAGCCCUAGCUGGGCUGAGAGGGUGACCAGCCACACUGGACCUGAGACACGGUCCAGACGCCUACGGGAGGCAGCAGUGGGGAAUAUUGCACAAUGGGCGCAAGCCUGAUGCAGCCAUGCCGCGUGUGUGAAGAAGUCCUUCGGGUUGUAAAGCACUUUCAGCGGGGAGGCGUUACCCGCAGAAGACGCACCGGCUAACUCCGUGCCAGCAGCCGCGGUAAUAC